GCGCGCUCUCCCGCGUCUGUGAUUCGGCUGAAGAAAGGUCACCGUGGCCACCAGAUCCAGUCUGUGUCCAGAUCAGAGGGUCACUGCAGUCACCCGGAUCCAGUACGUAUCCAGACCAGAUGGUGGAUCAGCACCUAGAAAGGACCUCUACUGCCCUGAAAGACAGCGGAGACCAGGACAACUAGAGCCCCAGAUACAGAUCCCCUGUAAAGACCUUGUCUCAGAGGAGCACCAGGACAAGACCACAGGAAACAGAUGAUUCUUCUGCACAAUCUGACUUUGCUGCAGCCUGGAAUUGAACUACUGGUUUCGUCUGGUCAGAGGAGAACUGGCCCCCCAACUGAGCCUGGUUUCUCCCAAGGUUUUUUUCUCCAUUCUGUCACCGAUGGAGUUUCGGUUCCUUGCCGCUGUCGCCUCUGGCUUGCUUAGUUGGGGUCACUUCAUCUACAGCGAUAUCGUUGACUUGAUUGCAAAUAAAAACAGACACUAUUUCAACUGAACAGAGAUGACAUCACUGAAUUCAAUGAUGAACUGCCUUUAACUAUCAUUUUGCAUUAUUGAGACACUGUUUUCCAAAUGAAUGUUGUUCAGUGCUUUGGCGCAAUGUAUUUUGUUUAAAGCACUAUAUAAAUAAAGGUGAUUGAAUGACAA
This is a long non-coding RNA of Carassius gibelio (silver crucian carp), 651 nucleotides long. RefSeq lists it as uncharacterized. The record is from RefSeq and is a predicted model, not a curated record. The transcript has 2 exons. NCBI's taxonomy places the organism in Eukaryota, Metazoa, Chordata, Actinopteri, Cypriniformes, Cyprinidae.